CCUACGGGAGGCAGCAGUGGGGAAUAUUGGACAAUGGGCGAAAGCCUGAUCCAGCAAUGCCGCGUGAGUGAUGAAGGCCUUCGGGUCGUAAAGCUCUUUUACCAGGGAUGAUAAUGACAGUACCUGGAGAAUAAGCUCCGGCUAACUCCGUGCCAGCAGCCGCGGUAAUACGGAGGGAGCUAGCGUUGUUCGGAAUUACUGGGCGUAAAGAGUACGUAGGCGGUUAUUCAAGUCAGAGGUGAAAGCCCGGGGCUCAACCCCGGAACUGCCUUUGAAACUAGAUAACUAGAGUCUUGGAGAGGUUAGUGGAAUUCCGAGUGUAGAGGUGAAAUUCGUAGAUAUUCGGAAGAACACCAGUGGCGAAGGCGACUAACUGGACAAGUACUGACGCUGAGGUACGAAAGCGUGGGGAGCAAACAGGAUUAGAUACCCCGGUAGUCCACGCCGUAAACGAUGAUAACUAGUUGUUCGGUCACUUGGUGACUGAGUGACGCAGCUAACGCAUUAAGUUAUCCGCCUGGGGAGUACGGUCGCAAGAUUAAAACUCAAAAGGAAUUGACGGCUGAGACNGCGACGACGACACGAGGAGAG
RNAcentral lists this ribosomal RNA (591 nucleotides) under uncultured bacterium. Its description in RNAcentral is "bacterial SSU rRNA". It matches the Rfam family "Bacterial small subunit ribosomal RNA", at positions 338 to 943 of the family's 1533-position model. The record is from RNAcentral.